This 465-nucleotide ribosomal RNA is filed under the name uncultured bacterium. Its description in RNAcentral is "partial 16S ribosomal RNA". It matches the Rfam family "Bacterial small subunit ribosomal RNA", at positions 28 to 507 of the family's 1533-position model. The record is from RNAcentral.
GACGAACGCUGGCGGCGUGCUUAACACAUGCAAGUCGAACGGAAAGGCCCAGCUUGCUGGGUACUCGAGUGGCGAACGGGUGAGUAACACGUGGGUGAUCUGCCCUGGACUCUGGGAUAAGCCUGGGAAACUGGGUCUAAUACCGGAUAUGACCUUACAUCGCAUGGUGUUUGGUGGAAAGCUUUUGCGGUUCAGGAUGGGCCCGCGGCCUAUCAGCUUGUUGGUGGGGUAUGGCCUACCAAGGCGACGACGGGUAGCCGACCUGAGAGGGUGAUCGGCCACACUGGGACUGAGACACGGCCCAGACUCCUACGGGAGGCAGCAGUGGGGAAUAUUGCACAAUGGGCGCAAGCCUGAUGCAGCGACGCCGCGUGAGGGAUGACGGCCUUCGGGUUGUAAACCUCUUUCACCAGGGACGAAGCGUGAGUGACGGUACCUGGAGAAGAAGCACCGGCCAACUACGUG